GUGCCAGCCGCCGCGGUAAUACCAGCUCCGCGAGUGGUCUGGGCUUUUAUUGGGCCUAAAGCGCCCGUAGCCGGCCUGGUAAGUUCGUGUCUAAAUACCGAGGCUCAACCUCGGAAAUGGUGCGAAUACUACCAGGCUAGGGGGCGAGAGAGGCUGGGAGUACUCCUGGAGUAGGGGCGAAAUCCGUAGAUCCCAGGAGGACUACCAGUGGCGAAGGCGCCCAGCUAGAGCGCGCCCGACGGUGAGGGGCGAAAGCCGGGGCAGCAAACCGGAUUAGAUACCCGGGUAGUCCCGGCCGUAAACUAUGCGGACUAUGUGUCAGGUGGGCUUAGGGUCCACCUGGUGCAACAGGGAAGUCCUUUAAGUCCGCCGCCUGGGGAGUACAGCCGCAAGGCCGAAACUUAAAGGAAUUGGCGGGGGAGCACCACAAGGGGUGGAACCUGCGGCUCAAUUGGAGUCAACACCUGGAAUCUCACCGGGGGAGACCGCAGAAUGACGGCCAGGCUGACGACCUUGCCAGACUCGCGGAGAGGAGGCGCAUGGCCGUCGCCAGCUCGUGUUGUGAAAUGUCCGGUUAAGUCCGGCAACGAGCGAGACCCCCACCCCUAGUUGCUACUCUGGCCUCCGGGCUGGAGGCACACUAGGGGGACUGCCGGCGUUUAAGCCGGAGGAAGGAGGGGGCCACGGCAGGUCAGCAUGCCCCGAAACUCCCGGGCCGCACGCGGGUUACAAUGGUAGGGACAGCGGGAAUCCAAACCCGAAAGGGGGAGGCAAUCCCUUAAACCCUGCCUCAGUUGGGAUCGAGGGCUGAAACUCGCCCUCGUGAACGAGGAAUCCCUAGUAACCGCACGUCAACAACGUGCGGUGAAUACGUCCCUGCUCCUUGCACACACCGCCCGUCGCUCCACCCGAGCGGGGGAGGGGUGAGGCUCUCUGCUUCGGUGGGGAGUCGAACUUCUUUCCUGCAAGGGGGGAGAAGUCGUAACAAGGUAGCCGUAGGGGAACCUGCGGCUGGAUCACCUCCUU
RNAcentral lists this ribosomal RNA (1026 nucleotides) under uncultured archaeon. RNAcentral describes it as "bacterial SSU rRNA". It matches the Rfam family "Archaeal small subunit ribosomal RNA", at positions 455 to 1478 of the family's 1478-position model. The record is from RNAcentral.